RNAcentral lists this ribosomal RNA (274 nucleotides) under uncultured prokaryote. RNAcentral's name for it is "partial 16S ribosomal RNA". It matches the Rfam family "Bacterial small subunit ribosomal RNA", at positions 526 to 801 of the family's 1533-position model. The record is from RNAcentral.
CGUAGGGGCUAGCGUUAUCCGGAAUUACUGGGCGUAAAGGGUGCGUAGGUGGUUUCUUAAGUCAGAGGUGAAAGGCUAAGGCUCAACCGUAGUAAGCCUUUGAAACUGGGAAACUUGAGUGCAGGAGAGGAGAGUGGAAUUCCUAGUGUAGCGGUGAAAUGCGUAGAUAUUAGGAGGAACACCAGUUGCGAAGGCGGCUCUCUGGACUGUAACUGACACUGAGGCACGAAAGCGUGGGGAGCAAACAGGAUUAGAUACCCUGGUAGUCCCUGAG